This 477-nucleotide ribosomal RNA is filed under the name uncultured bacterium. RNAcentral describes it as "bacterial SSU rRNA". It matches the Rfam family "Bacterial small subunit ribosomal RNA", at positions 368 to 836 of the family's 1533-position model. The record is from RNAcentral.
GCAAUGGGGGAAAACCUGAUGCAGCAACGCCGCGUGAGUGAUGAAGGCCUUCGGGUCGUAAAGGUCUGUCGGGAGGGAAGAAGUGAUAUUGGGUUAAUACCCAGAAUUCAUGACGGUACCUGAGAAGGAAGCACCGGCUAACUCCGUGCCAGCAGCCGCGGUAAUACGGAGGGUGCGAGCGUUGUUCGGAAUUAUUGGGCGUAAAGCGCGUGUAGGCGGUUUGUUAAGUCUGAUGUGAAAUCCCCGGGCUCAACCUGGGAAGUGCAUUGGAAACUGGCGGACUUGAGUACGGCAGAGGGGAGUGGAAUUCCGAGUGUAGGAGUGAAAUCCGUAGAUAUUCGGAGGAACACCGGUGGCGAAGGCGGCUACCUGGACCGAUAUUGACGCUGAGACGCGAAAGCGUGGGUAGCAAACAGGAUUAGAUACCCUGGUAGUCCACGCCGUAAACGAUGAGUACUAGGUGUUGCGGGUAUUGAC